RNAcentral lists this ribosomal RNA (253 nucleotides) under uncultured bacterium. RNAcentral's name for it is "partial 16S ribosomal RNA". It matches the Rfam family "Bacterial small subunit ribosomal RNA", at positions 524 to 776 of the family's 1533-position model. The record is from RNAcentral.
UACGGGGGGGGCAAGCGUUGUUCGGAAUUACUGGGCGUAAAGGGCUCGUAGGCGGCCAACUAAGUCAGACGUGAAAUCCCCAGGCUCAACCUGGGAACUGCGUCUGAUACUGGUUGGCUUGAAUCCGGGAGAGGGAUGCAGAAUUCCAGGUGUAACGGUGAAAUGCGUAGAUAUCUGGAGGAAUACCGGUGGCGAAGGCGGCAUCCUGGACCGGCAUUGACGCUGAGGAGCGAAAGCUAGGGGAGCAAACGGG